Selaginella moellendorffii is the source of this 322-nucleotide long non-coding RNA. RefSeq lists it as uncharacterized. The record is from RefSeq and is a predicted model, not a curated record. The transcript has 3 exons. NCBI's taxonomy places the organism in Eukaryota, Viridiplantae, Streptophyta, Lycopodiopsida, Selaginellales, Selaginellaceae.
CCUGUUUGGACCAAUUUAGGAUCUCAAGCCAAGAGGAUGAAACGUUCAACAGCCGACUAGAUGGAAUGAAGCAAACGUUAGUGAUGAUGAUCAUGCACUUGCUGAGGACGUUUUGUUCAGAUUCCUCAAAGGCCUUCCAGGCCCGUUUUUGUGUUGACUGAAGUACUGGAUGUCUACGUUGACGACGAAUUCACCAGUGUGGCAUCUCGAAGCUGGAAUCGCAGAAUAUCUACUGCCGCUCUGAAAGUUUGGCUCUCCCAAGGUCAAGACAUCAAAAUUGACACUGAAGCAAGCUCUGCAAAACUAUCAAGACAUUCAAGAG